ACUAGUAUAAAUACCCCCUUAUGUCUAUGAUAUAAGGUAGCUUUGGAUAAUCUAAAACAGAACCCCUUUGUUUAGCUGUGUGCUAACAAAUAUUGAGAGUGAUCUCUACCCCUUUGCUCUUGUGAAUUCCUUCGCGGGAUUACAGAAGCGGUGGCUUCAUCCGCUCCCAAUUGGUGCUCCUACUCCCUUCGAGGUCUCCUCGAUUGAUUGUAGAUUGUGUUGGUUGGUUCUUUGAGACAAACAACAGUUCAAAAACUGCUUGAUAUUGCACUAGGUUUGAAUCAAAAGUUUAAAACUAUAUGUGCAUACUAAAGGGCAGAUUAUUAAAACAUAUACAAAGUAAAAAUAAAUAUAGAUGGAAGUGCUUACAAAUUAAAAAAUGGCGAAAAACUAUAUAUAUACUUGUUACCCAAAAAUGUAAAACAACUACACAUUUUAAUCAAACCAAUGCUCUAGUUAACAAGUAGGAGAUUCUACAAGUCGUUCUAGGUUACAAAAUAAAGCAGGACACUUGACUUUUUACCUGGAACUUGCCAGUUUCUACCAUAAAUGAACUUAAGUUAUUAGGGAUAAUACGAAAUACAAGCUCUGUCUGCCUUAUCUCCCUUUUUUCCCUUAUGCUCCCUGGUUCAUGGCCUGUACCAAUUUUAAGCUAAAUUCUCUUCACUGUCUAUUUCCAAGUACUUGUCACAUGUCCACGCAGCCGCUCAUCAAACUUUCCACAGCACAGCACAAAACCCUCCCUAAACCUUGCCAGCUAAUAUCGCCAGACGGACUCCAAAAUGGCAUGGCCGCAACCAUGCUUGAGGCGCUGAAGACCCUAGGCAAGAUUUUAGAUGGAUUAUCGACUCCAUAACUAGGACACCACGCAGCUCAAGAGUCCACAGGUAACCGGGUUAGAAAAAAAAAAUCGAAUUUUAACGCUCGCAGACGGGACAGGAAGGUCGCCAAGGACAAGGCGAGCAGCGAAUUCCAACCUCCAACUGAGGCAAAGCUCGAGUCGCUUACCCACGAGAGCAGAGGUCGAUCCGAGUCAAUCCGGAUAGUCGGAGCUUCACUGACGACCCGCGCCGCACCGGUAGAGCAACAGGAAGCCGGUAACAGGCAGUGCAGAAGGAGCGGAGAGGCGAGGUCGACGGCGAUGAACCACCCGCAGCUCGCGGCGGCCACCGAGGUCGACGACAGGAAGCAAGGGGACGGAGGAGUUGGGGAGAUCUAGACGGCGGACGGGCGGCAUCCAAGACUGAGGUGGAAAAGUUGGCUGGACAGCACAGGGGUCUUCUCAGACUGCAAACUCUGCUUCUGCUCGACUCCCUCCGAGUCAGGCUGG
RNAcentral lists this long non-coding RNA (1330 nucleotides) under Zea mays. RNAcentral describes it as "long non-coding RNA (ZMAY_LNC003839)". The record is from RNAcentral. Lineage: Eukaryota; Viridiplantae; Streptophyta; Magnoliopsida; Poales; Poaceae.